UGACGCUGAGGAGCGAAAGCGUGGGGAGCGAACAGGAUUAGAUACCCUGGUAGUCCACGCCGUAAACGGUGGAUGCUGGAUGUGGGGCCCGUUCCACGGGUUCCGUGUCGGAGCUAACGCGUUAAGCAUCCCGCCUGGGGAGUACGGCCGCAAGGCUAAAACUCAAAGAAAUUGACGGGGGCCCGCACAAGCGGCGGAGCAUGCGGAUUAAUUCGAUGCAACGCGAAGAACCUUACCUGGGCUUGACAUGUUCCCGACGGUCGUAGAGAUACGGCUUCCCUUCGGGGCGGGUUCACAGGUGGUGCAUGGUCGUCGUCAGCUCGUGUCGUGAGAUGUUGGGUUAAGUCCCGCAACGAGCGCAACCCUCGCCCCGUGUUGCCAGCGGAUUAUGCCGGGAACUCACGGGGGACCGCCGGGGUUAACUCGGAGGAAGGUGGGGAUGACGUCAGAUCAUCAUGCCCCUUACGUCCAGGGCUUCACGCAUGCUACAAUGGCCGGUACAACGGGAUGCGACGCGGCGACGCGGAGCGGAUCCCUGAAAACCGGUCUCAGUUCGGAUCGCAGUCUGCAACUCGACUGCGUGAAGGCGGAGUCGCUAGUAAUCGCGAAUCAGCAACGUCGCGGUGAAUGCGUUCCCGGGCCUUGUACACACCGCCCGUCAAGUCAUGAAAGUGGGCAGCACCCGAAGCCGGUGGCCUAACCCCUUGUGGGAUGGAGCCGUCUAAGGUGAGGCUCGUGAUUGGGACUAAGUCGUAACAAGGUAGCCGUACCGGAAGGUGCGGCUG
RNAcentral lists this ribosomal RNA (785 nucleotides) under human gut metagenome. RNAcentral's name for it is "bacterial SSU rRNA". It matches the Rfam family "Bacterial small subunit ribosomal RNA", at positions 741 to 1520 of the family's 1533-position model. The record is from RNAcentral.